Molecule: long non-coding RNA, 595 nt
Filed under: Brassica rapa (field mustard)
Lineage: Eukaryota; Viridiplantae; Streptophyta; Magnoliopsida; Brassicales; Brassicaceae
Description: long non-coding RNA (BRAP_LNC007585)
Source: RNAcentral
GAAUUCUAAAUUUUUAUGUUAUUAUGGGGAUGAAUAAUGUUUAUUAAGUUUGUUCUGUUUGCUUCCGAGGCGAAUUGAGUGACGAGGGAGAAGAAAGGAGAAGAAGCCGAUGCACAAUGGAGAAGACGAAAUUGAAGAUUGAAGAACGGAGAAAGAGGUCUGGGAAAAGGAGUUGUCGGACCUCCUUUGGUGGGGGUUCUGUCGCUUUACAAAAGGGAAGAAGAACCCGUGUUCUAGGUUUUGUCGUCAACGAAAAGAGAACAUAUUGUUUUUGUUUCUUAUAUUUUUCUUUUGAAUUAAAAUCUAUUUUAUUAAAUGGCAUAUUAAAAAUUAAUGGCAAACUUGUGGUUAAUGCUUCAAAGGUUGGGUUUUUAGUAAAUUUGCCUAUUUUGAAUUACAAUCUAGUAAUUAAAAAGUUAUAUGAGUUAUCUGAGUAAUUACUAGAAUGAUUUGAGCUAUUCCAAGUAAAUUCUCUUGUUCUUUAGCACUCCUCUGUUUCUUGGCUUAGCUCUUUUUUUUUUUUAUCUUUUUUGCAAUAGCUGAUCCUAGUAUGAUCUUUUUAAUUUGUAAUAAUUUACAAAUCAGCAUCAUUUUA